CACGUAGGGGGCAAGCGUUGUUCGGAAUUACUGGGCGUAAAGGGCAUGUAGGCGGUUUUGUAAGCCUGACGUGAAAGGCUAUGGCUUAACCAUGGCACUGCGUUGGGAACUGCGAGACUUGAAUCACGGAGGGGGAGCUGGAAUUCCAGGUGUAGGGGUGAAAUCUGUAGAUAUCUGGAAGAACACCAGUGGCGAAGGCGAGCUCCUGGCCGAUGAUUGACGCUGAGGUGCGAAAGUGUGGGGAUCAAACAGG
RNAcentral lists this ribosomal RNA (253 nucleotides) under uncultured bacterium. Its description in RNAcentral is "partial 16S ribosomal RNA". It matches the Rfam family "Bacterial small subunit ribosomal RNA", at positions 524 to 776 of the family's 1533-position model. The record is from RNAcentral.